GGGGAAUAUUGCACAAUGGGCGAAAGCCUGAUGCAGCAACGCCGCGUGAGUGAUGAAGGCCUUCGGGUUGUAAAGCUCUGUCUUCUGGGACGAUAAUGACGGUACCAGAGGAGGAAGCCACGGCUAACUACGUGCCAGCAGCCGCGGUAAUACGUAGGUGGCAAGAGUUGUCCGGAUUUACUGGGCGUAAAGGAUGCGUAGGCGGAUACUUAAGUCAGAUGUGAAAAUCCCGGGCUUAACUUGGGAACUGCAUUUGAAACUGGGUAUCUAGAGUGCGGGAGAGGAAAGUGGAAUUCCUAGUGUAGCGGUGAAUUGCGUAGAGAUUAGGAAGAACACCAGUGGCGAAGGCGACUUUCUGGACCGUAACUGACGCUGAGGCAUGAAAGCGUGGGGAGCAAACA
This 401-nucleotide ribosomal RNA is filed under the name uncultured bacterium. RNAcentral's name for it is "bacterial SSU rRNA". It matches the Rfam family "Bacterial small subunit ribosomal RNA", at positions 356 to 774 of the family's 1533-position model. The record is from RNAcentral.